This is a non-coding RNA of Schistosoma mansoni, 45 nucleotides long. Lineage: Eukaryota; Metazoa; Platyhelminthes; Trematoda; Strigeidida; Schistosomatidae. The record is from Rfam.
AUCAGGCUGAUGAGUCCCAAACAGGACAAAACGCACGUCCUGGAU